AAGGAAGAAGCUAAACACAGCAAUUAGUUGUUACCUAAUAGAAAGUGAAAAUUCUUCACCAUCCUUA
This 67-nucleotide transfer RNA is filed under the name Lepidodesma languilati. RNAcentral describes it as "tRNA-Asn". Lineage: Eukaryota; Metazoa; Mollusca; Bivalvia; Unionida; Unionidae. The record is from RNAcentral. RNAcentral also lists the same sequence under 1 other name.